Molecule: ribosomal RNA, 250 nt
Filed under: uncultured bacterium
Lineage: Bacteria
Description: partial 16S ribosomal RNA
Rfam family: Bacterial small subunit ribosomal RNA
Source: RNAcentral
UACGUAGGUGGCGAGCGUUGUCCGGAAUUACUGGGUGUAAAGGGCGUGUAGGCGGGAAUGUAAGUCAGAUGUGAAAUUCCGGGGCUCAACCCCGGCACUGCAUCUGAAACUAUAUUUCUUGAGUGCUGGAGAGGAAAGCGGAAUUCCUAGUGUAGCGGUGAAAUGCGUAGAUAUCGUUUGGAACGCCAAUGGUGAAAACAGCUCGCUGGGGGUGCGCUGACACUGAGACACGAAAGCCAGGGGAGCAAAC